Molecule: ribosomal RNA, 821 nt
Filed under: Pleopsidium sp. CM-2019b
Lineage: Eukaryota; Fungi; Ascomycota; Lecanoromycetes; Acarosporales; Acarosporaceae
Description: SSU rRNA
Rfam family: Bacterial small subunit ribosomal RNA
Source: RNAcentral
UUAGCAAGGGAGGGAAUAUGGUCAAUAGCCUAACGGCUGAACCAGCAACUUGGGGGAAUGUAUAGCGAAAGCUAGUUGUAUUAACUAUUAGUUAAUGCAAGAUCGACUACGUCGAAUAAAGUUCUAGGUAGAAUAAUGAUGAUGACAAUUUUUUACCUAUAUGUCUUGACCAAAUCUCGUGCCAGCAGUCGCGGUAAUACGUGGGAGACUAGUGUUAUUCAUCUUUAAUAGGUUUAAAGGGUACCUAGACGGUAUUUCUAGCCCAAAAUAGGGUACGGAUUUACUAGAGUUUUAUGUGAGGAGGGGAGUACUUGUGGAGUAGAGAUGAAAUUUUUUUAUACUAUGAGGAAACUGGUGGCGGCGAAAGCAACCUUCUAUAUAUAAACUGACGUUGAGGGACGAAGGCUUGGGUAGCAAAUAGGAUUAGAUACCCUAGUAGUCCAAGCAGACAAUUCUGAAUGCCAUAGAUUAGAUUAUUUUUGGUCUAUAAAUGAAAGUGUAAGCAUUCCACCUCAAGAGUAAUGUGGCAACACAGGAACUGAAAUCAUUAGACCGUUUUUGAAACCAGUAGUGAAGUAUGUUAUUUAAUUCGAUGAUCCUCGAAAAACCUUACCACAAUUUGAAUAUUUUAAAUUCAUACAAGCGUUGCACGGCUGUCUUCAGUUAAUGUCGUGAGAUUUUGGUUAACUCCAUUAAAUUAACGUAAACCCUUACUUUAUUUAUUUUUUUAUAUAAAGUAGUUCGUCGCUAUAUUGGUUAUGAUAAAAGGGACUAAGACAAGUCAUCAUGGCCUUAAUAUUGUGGGUAAGAAGGGGGCCCCA